Notolabrus celidotus (New Zealand spotty) is the source of this 445-nucleotide long non-coding RNA. RefSeq lists it as uncharacterized. The transcript is spliced from 2 exons. NCBI's taxonomy places the organism in Eukaryota, Metazoa, Chordata, Actinopteri, Labriformes, Labridae. The record is from RefSeq and is a predicted model, not a curated record.
GUCUGCCAAGGUUGCAAAACGGAGGCACCAGAAAAAAGAGAAACAAAAAAAAGAGAGAGAAUUAGAGAGACGGUUUUAACAAUUCCUGUUUGACACAUCAGGCAGCUGCCAGGAGAGACAGCAAUGGGUCAUGCAGCACAGCAACGAUGAACAGCAAGGUCCAAACACCCGCCAGGGAUACAGAUGACCGUCCUUGAUUUGGGGCUCUCACCGGCAACAUCAGCUGGAGCUCCGCACGUCCACAGCUUCCGGUCGUCUGCACAGAGGAAGACCCGACGUCUCGGCAGCUAACUAACACAGCAACUCACUUUUUGCAGUGGAGAAACACGCUCCGUCUGUUGUAAACAUUCAUAUAGGCCCAUUCAAAAGCGACAUAAAAUGAGAACAGUUUGCAGUCCAACAUGUGAAAAAAAAACUCAAUAAACACAAGACAGCCUUUAACGAA